AUUCAAAGGUGUGGUUCUGUUUUUUCAGUGCAGUGAUAAUCUUAUGAUAUAUCAUUAUGAUGCUAGCUAAAUUUUUUAUGGUAUUCCAGGCCACUGGUGGUACCGAGCAGCUUCUUAUCAGUGAUUCUCCAAAAUCCACUACUGCCGUUUCUGUGAGUGCUGAUGAAUUGAAACAACAGAAUCUAGGCGUCAUGAACUUGAGCUUCAAGCACAGUCGAGAAAGCUCGAAUAUAUGGAGUAUCAAAGGCAAUUUGAGAGUGAAAGUAGACAAAAGCAAUUUACUGGACAAAGUCGGAGUGCAGAAACGGAAGAACAAGUUUCCCCACUGUCAGAUAAUCAAAAUGCGGAAUUGGAUGAACAAGUUUGUACCCAUAAUUGUUUCUUCAAGGAGAUUAUGUGCAUGGAUAGCUCAUUUGAGAAGCUUUUGAAGCAUGUAGAUCAGAACAAUCUAUUUGCUUGUGAAGGCUGUGGAAAACUCAGUUCUACUCAUCAAUUUCCUCCUCAUGUGUUCAUAACCAGCAUGUGGUUUCGAAUGGAAGACUGGUCAUGAGAGCACAGAUGAUAUAUCAACAACACUGUCGACUCCUUCUACCGAUUGUACCAUCAAAAGAAUGUUGAACUUGAAAAAAAAAAAACCAUCUUCCUCCAAGUUCUACUUCUAUUUGGCUCUAACAUCAUUAAGCCUAUGAGAUCCCCUUUAACUGCACCAAGUCUGAGAACUAGUCAUUUACUGGUGGCUCGGAUGAAUACAUAUCUUACUCUUUGGUAGAAUUUUUUGCACCCAAAUUUUUUUUUUUUCUAGUUGAUCUUCUCUACAACUGAAUUAACAGACUAAUGCAAGUACAUCAAAAUGUUUAUUUUGGCCAAGAAUCAGUUAUGCAUGCGUUAAGUACCAUUUACAAUCUUACUUAGUGCCCUCAUGCCCUCAUCUAACUUGUAGGUUUGUUUUUCUGGGGAAAAUUAUCAGUUCUUAGCUUACAAUCAUGUGCUUGAAAAAUGGAUUAUGCAUGAUGAAGAGUCUAAGGUCAUUGGUUGUUGGAACGAUGUUAUUACCCUAUGCAGAACAAGGAAUUUACAAUCUCAGAUUCUCUUCUUUGAAGAAAAAUGUGGAUUUGUUAAAGGAAAGUCCAUUGUGGUUCCACUACCAACCUGGUCUUGAAAAAUGGUGUUUCUUCGUCGGACAGGCAUGUCCAGACUGCGCUGGUUCGUUUCUACGCAGAGGGCAGUUGUUUGAUGAAAUUCAGUACAGUGGAAUGUUUUUCUAUAUGGGUAUGUUGGGCGUGGUUUGGCUGCUGAGGCUUUGAAUGCUUCCGGGAGUUGGGCCUGCUGAAUUCUGUUUGACCACUACGCUUAAGGUUUGUGCUCAUUUGGGGGCUCUUGAGCAAGGAAAGUGGAUCCAUGAGUAUGUUAGCAAAAGGAAAUGUCUGGAAGCUGAUGUGUUUAUUGGGACUGCGCUAGUUGAUAUGCAUGUCAAAUGUUGGUGUAGAGGUCUUCAAGGGGAAUGCCUAAGAGGAAUGUGUUCUCAUGGUCAGCUAUGAUUGGGGGGUUUGCACUACAUGGGCAUGUGAGAAAAGCCAUGCAAUGCUUGGAGAGAAUGCAGGUGGAAGAUGGGCUUAGACCAGAUGGGGUUGUUCUUCUUGAAGUCACGAUGGCUUGUGCCCAUGCAGGACUCCAGGAAGAAGGCCAGUUUCUACUAAACAAAAUGGAAGCUUGAUAUGGUGGUAUCUUACCCAAACAUUGAGCACUAUAGUUGCAUGGUCGACUUGUUCUGCAGGGCAGGUCGGUUAGAGCCUUAGAGGAAGCACCCAAGCUCAUAAGAAGAAUGCCCAUGAAGCCACUAGCUCCAGUCUGGGGCGCCUUACUGACUGGUUGUCAAACUCAUAACAACGUUGAUCUCGCAGAGCUUGCUGCUAGAGAGCUUCUAAUGACAGGAAACUUAUGUUCAGUCAUCCAACAUCUAUUUGGCUGCAUAGAAAUGUGAAGAUGCCUGUAGGAUCCCAAGGAUGAUUGGUGAUAAAGGGAUAAAAAAAGAAAAGAAAAAAAGCCAGGAUGCCGUGUGAUAGAAGUGGAAGGGGAAGUUCUA
Molecule: RNA transcript, 2083 nt
Organism: Vitis riparia (riverbank grape)
Lineage: Eukaryota; Viridiplantae; Streptophyta; Magnoliopsida; Vitales; Vitaceae
Exons: 4
Source: RefSeq, a predicted model, not a curated record